CUAUUACAUAAGUGACAAGUGACAGUUUCGUUAAUAUCGAUUUCAACCACGUGAUUAUAAUCCAUUGUAAAUCAGUCAGAUCAACAGUAACCGAGAUCGGAACUCUGAAAUACAGCUAACCAGUACGAUUACAAAACCUACAGCUAACCAGGACUUUGAGAAUCAGAAAACACGAUCGGAUACGCCACAGAAAUCGAAUAAAUAUAUCUUUACACAUCGUUGGAUUGUUAUACGGUUUGUGGCGAAAUCCUCAUGGGAACCUAACGCAACAAUAUGACUUUCAUGUUUCCAACGGCACCGCUGGUCAUAUUUGCCUCCAUUAAAGUUGUGGUAUUUCGGCUCCCUAUGAGGGCUAUAAUAAAAUCAUCAUUUUCACAAUUGUGAGAAUGUGAUCAUAUCCAGCUUUCAGGUACUUGAAUUGGGGCACGCGCUUUUUUCAUUAACCUUGCAUAAGCGUUUCCCCAUCUGUUCGUACUAAAAUGGUCGUCAAAUACGAAAUGGUCGAGAUUACAAAACUGCAAUAGCGCUUAUAGAUAAGACAUUCUAUAAGGCAUCUUUAGGACUUAUUAAGCUGGAAAAUGUAAUCAAGGAAGACGAUAACGCUUACUUUGUUUGAUUGGUACUUUUGCCUUUUAUAUCCGUACCGCAAAUAAAGACGGCCAAAGCGAGUUGAAUUUUUAUUAAAUUGUGCAAAUUGUAAAUAUAAAAAGCACAAGUACACGUGUACAUUACGCGUUUGUGCGCAAUAUAUUUAAGGUAAUAUAUGCAACACAAAACUUUCUUUAUCACAAAAAGCGAAUAUCCAAUUUUUUUUAGAGAAUAGGAUUGUACCAAGGGAGCACGGCAGUAUGUGUUCCUUAACGCGCAAUUUAUAUUAUUACGAAAAUAAACCACUUUGUUAUGCAACA
Molecule: long non-coding RNA, 908 nt
Organism: Nematostella vectensis (starlet sea anemone)
Lineage: Eukaryota; Metazoa; Cnidaria; Anthozoa; Actiniaria; Edwardsiidae
Exons: 2
Source: RefSeq, a predicted model, not a curated record